AGAGUUUGAUUCUGGCUCAGGAUGAACGCUAGCGGCAGGCCUAAUACAUGCAAGUCGAGGGGCAGCAGGGGUAGCAAUACUCGCUGGCGACCGGCGCACGGGUGCGUAACACGUAUGCAACUUUCCUUCAACUGGAAGAUAGCCCGAAGAAAUUCGGAUUAAUAUUCCAUAGUUAUAUGAAAUGGCAUCAUUUUAUAUUUAAAGCUCAGGCGGUUGAAGAUGGGCAUGCGUUCGAUUAGCUAGUUGGUGAGGUAAUGGCUCACCAAGGCUACGAUCGAUAGGGGAUCUGAGGAUUAACCCCCACACUGGUACUGAGACACGGACCAGACUCCUACGGGAGGCAGCAGUAAGGAAUAUUGGACAAUGGAGGCAACUUUGAUCCAGCCAUGCCGCGUGAAGGAUGAAGGUCCUAUGGAUUGUAAACUUCUUUUGAACGGGAGAAAACCUUCGGUCGUGUACCGAAGCUGAUAGUACCGUUAGAAUAAGGGUCGGCUAACUUCGUGCCAGCAGCCGCGGUAAUACGAAGGACCCGAGCGUUAUCCGGAUUUAUUGGGUUUAAAGGGUGCGUAGGCGGAAUGGUAAGUCAGUGGUGAAAUCUUGUGGCUUAACUGCAAAACUGCCAUUGAUACUGCCAAUCUUGAGUACAUUUGAUGUGGGCGGAAUGUGCCAUGUAGUGGUGAAAUACUUAGAUAUGGCACAGAACACCGAUCGCGAAGGCAGCUCACAAAACUGUUACUGACGCUGAGGACGAAAGCGUGGGGAUCAAACAGGAUUAGAUACCCUGGUAGUCCACGCCUCAAACUAUGAUUACUCGAUGUGUGCGAUACACAGUACGCGUCUAAGCGAAAGCGUUAAGUAAUCCACCUGGGGAGUACGGUCGCAAGAUUGAAACUCAAAGAAAUUGACGGGGGCCCGCACAAGCGGAGGAGCAUGUGGUUUAAUUCGAUGAUACGCGAGGAACCUUACCUGGGCUUGAAAGUUAGUGAAUGCUGUGGAAACAUGGCAGGCCGCAAGGACACGAAACUAGGUGCUGCAUGGCUGUCGUCAGCUCGUGCCGUGAGGUGUUGGGUUAAGUCCCGCAACGAGCGCAACCCCUAUCUUUAGUUGCCAGCGAGUAAUGUCGGGGACUCUAAAGAAACUGCCCGUGCAAACGGUGAGGAAGGUGGGGAUGACGUCAAGUCAGCACGGCCCUUACGUCCAGGGCUACACACGUGCUACAAUGGCGAGUACAAAGGGCAGCUACAUGGUGACAUGAUGCUAAUCUCUAAAACUCGUCUCAGUUCGGAUUGAAGUCUGCAAUUCGACUUCAUGAAGCUGGAUUCGCUAGUAAUCGAAUAUCAGCAAUGAUUCGGUGAAUACGUUCCCGGGCCUUGUACACACCGCCCGUCAAACAAUGGAAGCUGAGGGUACUUAAAGUCGAUAACCGCAAGGAGUCGCCUAGGGUAAAAUCGGUAACUGGUGUUAAGUCGUAACAAGGUA
RNAcentral lists this ribosomal RNA (1479 nucleotides) under metagenome. RNAcentral's name for it is "bacterial SSU rRNA". It matches the Rfam family "Bacterial small subunit ribosomal RNA". The record is from RNAcentral.